UUAAGCGACUAAGCGUACACGGUGGAUGCCCUGGCAGUCAGAGGCGAUGAAGGACGUGCUAAUCUGCGAUAAGCGUCGGUAAGGUGAUAUGAACCGUUAUAACCGGCGAUUUCCGAAUGGGGAAACCCAGUGUGUUUCGACACACUAUCAUUAACUGAAUCCAUAGGUUAAUGAGGCGAACCGGGGGAACUGAAACAUCUAAGUACCCCGAGGAAAAGAAAUCAACCGAGAUUCCCCCAGUAGCGGCGAGCGAACGGGGAGCAGCCCAGAGCCUGAAUCAGUGUGUGUGUUAGUGGAAGCGUCUGGAAAGGCGCGCGAUACAGGGUGACAGCCCCGUACACAAAAAUGCACAUGCUGUGAGCUCGAUGAGUAGGGCGGGACACGUGGUAUCCUGUCUGAAUAUGGGGGGACCAUCCUCCAAGGCUAAAUACUCCUGACUGACCGAUAGUGAACCAGUACCGUGAGGGAAAGGCGAAAAGAACCCCGGCGAGGGGAGUGAAAAAGAACCUGAAACCGUGUACGUACAAGCAGUGGGAGCACGCUUAGGCGUGUGACUGCGUACCUUUUGUAUAAUGGGUCAGCGACUUAUAUUCUGUAGCAAGGUUAACCGAAUAGGGGAGCCGAAGGGAAACCGAGUCUUAACUGGGCGUUAAGUUGCAGGGUAUAGACCCGAAACCCGGUGAUCUAGCCAUGGGCAGGUUGAAGGUUGGGUAACACUAACUGGAGGACCGAACCGACUAAUGUUGAAAAAUUAGCGGAUGACUUGUGGCUGGGGGUGAAAGGCCAAUCAAACCGGGAGAUAGCUGGUUCUCCCCGAAAGCUAUUUAGGUAGCGCCUCGUGAAUUCAUCUCCGGGGGUAGAGCACUGUUUCGGCAAGGGGGUCAUCCCGACUUACCAACCCGAUGCAAACUGCGAAUACCGGAGAAUGUUAUCACGGGAGACACACGGCGGGUGCUAACGUCCGUCGUGAAGAGGGAAACAACCCAGACCGCCAGCUAAGGUCCCAAAGUCAUGGUUAAGUGGGAAACGAUGUGGGAAGGCCCAGACAGCCAGGAUGUUGGCUUAGAAGCAGCCAUCAUUUAAAGAAAGCGUAAUAGCUCACUGGUCGAGUCGGCCUGCGCGGAAGAUGUAACGGGGCUAAACCAUGCACCGAAGCUGCGGCAGCGACGCUGAUGCGUUGUUGGGUAGGGGAGCGUUCUGUAAGCCUGCGAAGGUGUGCUGUGAGGCAUGCUGGAGGUAUCAGAAGUGCGAAUGCUGACAUAAGUAACGAUAAAGCGGGUGAAAAGCCCGCUCGCCGGAAGACCAAGGGUUCCUGUCCAACGUUAAUCGGGGCAGGGUGAGUCGACCCCUAAGGCGAGGCCGAAAGGCGUAGUCGAUGGGAAACAGGUUAAUAUUCCUGUACUUGGUGUUACUGCGAAGGGGGGACGGAGAAGGCUAUGUUGGCCGGGCGACGGUUGUCCCGGUUUAAGCGUGUAGGCUGGUUUUCCAGGCAAAUCCGGAAAAUCAAGGCUGAGGCGUGAUGACGAGGCACUACGGUGCUGAAGCAACAAAUGCCCUGCUUCCAGGAAAAGCCUCUAAGCAUCAGGUAACAUCAAAUCGUACCCCAAACCGACACAGGUGGUCAGGUAGAGAAUACCAAGGCGCUUGAGAGAACUCGGGUGAAGGAACUAGGCAAAAUGGUGCCGUAACUUCGGGAGAAGGCACGCUGGCGGUAGGUAAAGUCCCUCGCGGACGGCGCUGAAGCCAGUCGAAGAUACCAGCUGGCUGCAACUGUUUAUUAAAAACACAGCACUGUGCAAACACGAAAGUGGACGUAUACGGUGUGACGCCUGCCCGGUGCCGGAAGGUUAAUUGAUGGGGUUAGCGCAAGCGAAGCUCUUGAUCGAAGCCCCGGUAAACGGCGGCCGUAACUAUAACGGUCCUAAGGUAGCGAAAUUCCUUGUCGGGUAAGUUCCGACCUGCACGAAUGGCGUAAUGAUGGCCAGGCUGUCUCCACCCGAGACUCAGUGAAAUUGAACUCGCUGUGAAGAUGCAGUGUACCCGCGGCAAGACGGAAAGACCCCGUGAACCUUUACUAUAGCUUGACACUGAACAUUGAGCCUUGAUGUGUAGGAUAGGUGGGAGGCUUUGAAGUGUGGACGCCAGUCUGCAUGGAGCCGACCUUGAAAUACCACCCUUUAAUGUUUGAUGUUCUAACGUUGACCCGUAAUCCGGGUUGCGGACAGUGUCUGGUGGGUAGUUUGACUGGGGCGGUCUCCUCCUAAAGAGUAACGGAGGAGCACGAAGGUUGGCUAAUCCUGGUCGGACAUCAGGAGGUUAGUGCAAUGGCAUAAGCCAGCUUGACUGCGAGCGUGACGGCGCGAGCAGGUGCGAAAGCAGGUCAUAGUGAUCCGGUGGUUCUGAAUGGAAGGGCCAUCGCUCAACGGAUAAAAGGUACUCCGGGGAUAACAGGCUGAUACCGCCCAAGAGUUCAUAUCGACGGCGGUGUUUGGCAC
Molecule: ribosomal RNA, 2495 nt
Filed under: human gut metagenome
Description: bacterial LSU rRNA
Rfam family: Bacterial large subunit ribosomal RNA
Source: RNAcentral